This 396-nucleotide long non-coding RNA is filed under the name Vitis vinifera (wine grape). RNAcentral's name for it is "long non-coding RNA (VVIN_LNC002328)". Lineage: Eukaryota; Viridiplantae; Streptophyta; Magnoliopsida; Vitales; Vitaceae. The record is from RNAcentral.
AACUUCCUUUCCAAAUUGGUUCCAAGAAUGGUGGUUAUAUUUUGGUAUCAUUCCAACAAUUUUUUGUCCUCAAAUCAAAUCAUCUUUAUAUUAUUUUAAAGAGCAUGCUAAGGGUUUGAUCCUUGCUCAUUGUUCUCAAACUCUUUUCUUCACCUCUCGCUUUCAAAUUCCGUGGAUUUUUUGUUGGGAUUUUGUUCAAACUCAUCUAAUUGAUCCUUCUUUUCCCACACAUUUGGCGCAUGAAUUCAAGGUCAAAUGGUAGUCAAACUUCUCCCCAUCUUCUUCCCAACAACUUCCUCACAUCAAAAAUUGGAUUGUAGCAAAGGCUCCCUCCAAUAUUCAAAAUCCUUUUCAACUUCUUUCUUUUCUCUCCGAAGGAAUUACAACUCAGCCUAC